UGUAUAGCUCAGUUGGUAGAGUGCCUGCCUUGCGUGCAUAAGGUCCUGGGUUCAAUCCCCAGCACUACAA
This 70-nucleotide transfer RNA is filed under the name Ictidomys tridecemlineatus (thirteen-lined ground squirrel). RNAcentral describes it as "Spermophilus tridecemlineatus (thirteen-lined ground squirrel) tRNA". It matches the Rfam family "tRNA". Rfam says of the family: Transfer RNA (tRNA) molecules are approximately 80 nucleotides in length. Lineage: Eukaryota; Metazoa; Chordata; Mammalia; Rodentia; Sciuridae. The record is from Rfam by way of RNAcentral.